Molecule: ribosomal RNA, 253 nt
Filed under: uncultured bacterium
Lineage: Bacteria
Description: partial 16S ribosomal RNA
Rfam family: Bacterial small subunit ribosomal RNA
Source: RNAcentral
UACGUAGGUGGCAAGCGUUGUCCGGAUUUACUGGGCGUAAAGAGCGCGCAGGCGGUCGUUUAAGUCGAAUGUGAAAGCCCCCGGCUCAACUGGGGAGGGUCAUUCGAUACUGAUCGACUUGAAGGCAGGAGAGGGAAGUGGAAUUCCGGGUGUAGUGGUGAAAUGCGUAGAUAUCGGAAGGAACAUCAGUGGCGAAAGCGGCUUCCUGGACCAGCACCGACGUUCAGGCACGAAAGCGUGGGGAGCAAACAGG